RNAcentral lists this non-coding RNA (24 nucleotides) under Mus musculus (house mouse). The record is from RNAcentral. Lineage: Eukaryota; Metazoa; Chordata; Mammalia; Rodentia; Muridae.
UACCUUGUAAGCGGUAGAUUUAGG